RNAcentral lists this ribosomal RNA (573 nucleotides) under uncultured bacterium. RNAcentral describes it as "bacterial SSU rRNA". It matches the Rfam family "Bacterial small subunit ribosomal RNA", at positions 918 to 1491 of the family's 1533-position model. The record is from RNAcentral.
GGCCCGCACAAGCGGUGGAGCAUGUGGUUUAAUUCGAUGCAACGCGAAGAACCUUACCUACUCUUGACAUCCAGAGAACUUAGCAGAGAUGCUUUGGUGCCUUCGGGAACUCUGAGACAGGUGCUGCAUGGCUGUCGUCAGCUCGUGUUGUGAAAUGUUGGGUUAAGUCCCGCAACGAGCGCAACCCUUAUCCUUUGUUGCCAGCGAUUCGGUCGGGAACUCAAAGGAGACUACCGGUGAUAAACCGGAGGAAGGUGGGGAUGACGUCAAGUCAUCAUGGCCCUUACGAGUAGGGCUACACACGUGCUACAAUGGCGUAUACAAAGAGAAGCGACCUCGCGAGAGCAAGCGGAACUCAUAAAGUACGUCGUAGUCCGGAUUGGAGUCUGCAACUCGACUCCAUGAAGUCGGAAUCGCUAGUAAUCGUAGAUCAGAAUGCUACGGUGAAUACGUUCCCGGGCCUUGUACACACCGCCCGUCACACCAUGGGAGUGGGUUGCAAAAGAAGUAGGUAGCUUAACCUUCGGGAGGGCGCUUACCACUUUGUGAUUCAUGACUGGGGUGAAGUCGUAA